Diprion similis is the source of this 295-nucleotide long non-coding RNA. RefSeq lists it as uncharacterized. NCBI's taxonomy places the organism in Eukaryota, Metazoa, Arthropoda, Insecta, Hymenoptera, Diprionidae. The record is from RefSeq and is a predicted model, not a curated record. The transcript has 3 exons.
AGUUGAGAGCAAACAAAGAAAUUCUUCAAAGAGUUCGAUUCAAGUUGCAGUAAAUGAAUUUGACAAUCUGAUCGGUGUCGGUAUUAUUAUACACGCUAUUUUUCCGCCAGUCGUUUGAGAACACAUAAUUGGAUUAAAGAUCGUACUGCUGGUGGUUCACCUAGGUUUAACCUAUGCACUUACCGUUCGUACAUCUACACGUACGAGUAGAAUAGUUGAUUAUACUGUAUAGGAUAAACGUCGAGUUUACACAGUAAAGAUAAAUAAACUUUUCAACAUAUGAAGGAAGAUAUCG